GGGGGCGGCAGCUACCAUGCAGUCGAGCGGAACGAUGGAAGCUUGCUUCCAGGCGUCGAGCGGCGGACGGGUGAGUAAUGCAUAGGAAUCUGCCCGAUAGUGGGGGAUAACCUGGGGAAACCCAGGCUAAUACCGCAUACGUCCUACGGGAGAAAGCAGGGGAUCUUCGGACCUUGCGCUAUCGGAUGAGCCUAUGUCGGAUUAGCUAGUUGGUGAGGUAACGGCUCACCAAGGCCGCGAUCCGUAGCUGGUCUGAGAGGAUGAUCAGCCACAUCGGGACUGAGACACGGCCCGAACUCCUACGGGAGGCAGCAGUGGGGAAUAUUGGACAAUGGGCGAAAGCCUGAUCCAGCCAUGCCGCGUGUGUGAAGAAGGCUUUCGGGUUGUAAAGCACUUUCAGUGGGGAAGAAAUCCUCGGGGCCAAUACCCUCGAGGGAGGACAUCACCCACAGAAGAAGCACCGGCUAACUCCGUGCCAGCAGCCGCGGUAAUACGGAGGGUGCGAGCGUUAAUCGGAAUUACUGGGCGUAAAGCGCGCGUAGGCGGCGUGAUAAGCCGGUUGUGAAAGCCCCGGGCUCAACCUGGGAACGGCAUCCGGAACUGUCAGGCUAGAGUGCAGGAGAGGAAGGUAGAAUUCCCGGUGUAGCGGUGAAAUGCGUAGAGAUCGGGAGGAAUACCAGUGGCGAAGGCGGCCUUCUGGACUGACACUGACGCUGAGGUGCGAAAGCGUGGGUAGCAAACAGGAUUAGAUACCCUGGUAGUCCACGCCGUAAACGAUGUCGACUAGCCGUUGGGGUCCUUGUGACCUUUGUGGCGCAGUUAACGCGAUAAGUCGACCGCCUGGGGAGUACGGCCGCAAGGUUAAAACUCAAAUGAAUUGACGGGGGCCCGCACAAGCGGUGGAGCAUGUGGUUUAAUUCGAUGCAACGCGAAGAACCUUACCUACUCUUGACAUCGUGCGAACUUUCCAGAGAUGGAUCGGUGCCUUCGGGAACGCACAGACAGGUGCUGCAUGGCCGUCGUCAGCUCGUGUUGUGAAAUGUUGGGUUAAGUCCCGUAACGAGCGCAACCCUUGUCCCUAUUUGCCAGCGAUUCGGUCGGGAACUCUAGGGAGACUGCCGGUGACAAACCGGAGGAAGGUGGGGACGACGUCAGGUCAUCAUGGCCCUUACGAGUAGGGCUACACACGUGCUACAAUGGCCGGUACAAAGGGUUGCGAAGCCGCGAGGUGGAGCUAAUCCCGAAAAGCCGGUCUCAGUCCGGAUCGGAGUCUGCAACUCGACUCCGUGAAGUCGGAAUCGCUAGUAAUCGUGAAUCAGAAUGUCACGGUGAAUACGUUCCCGGGCCUUGUACACACCGCCCGUCACACCAUGGGAGUGGACUGCACCAGAAGUGGUUAGCCUAACUUCGGAGGGCGAUCACCACGUGUUCUUU
Molecule: ribosomal RNA, 1434 nt
Filed under: Halomonas sp. X29
Lineage: Bacteria; Pseudomonadati; Pseudomonadota; Gammaproteobacteria; Oceanospirillales; Halomonadaceae
Description: bacterial SSU rRNA
Rfam family: Bacterial small subunit ribosomal RNA
Source: RNAcentral